Astatotilapia calliptera (eastern happy) is the source of this 2948-nucleotide long non-coding RNA. The record is from Ensembl. Lineage: Eukaryota; Metazoa; Chordata; Actinopteri; Cichliformes; Cichlidae.
GUCUUUUUUAAUGCAGAUUUAAUUUCAUAUGAUGGCUCCUGGUGACUUUACAGCGUGACGUGGCAGGUAUCAAUCAUCUGUAGAAACUAACUACAGGCUACAGAGGUUCACGCAGCCUAGGGUGCUUUUAGGUCACUUGUCAGAGUAGCAUCAGUGUUACACAUCUGAUUUGAAGAACGCACUGACCACUUAAUUAAUUCUGGCAGUUAAAAAAGGUCAUCAGCUCCGUGCAAGUACAUUUCCCAGCAUGAAUGGAAACAAAUGCAUCAAUCAUUUAAAACAAUCAGGUUUAGCUGGCUAUUACAUGCAAAGACCAGUGUGGUCCUGCACUCUGGCUACAAACGGUCGUUCCAGCACAAUCCACAUAACCAACCACCAGAGUUUCAAGAUUUCAGCUGAGAAGGAUGGCAGCUAGAAAUCCUUCCCUGCUUUGUUCCUUCCAGGUUGACACAAGGGAUCAGCAUCAGGCAAGUGAUUAAUACAAUAACAAAGAAGUAUACACAUAGACUUGUAAAGAUUUGGUGUAACCUGUUUACUUGAACAAUAUUAUAAAAUCAAACAUUUUCAAACACUUAAAUGUUUCAUUAUGUGGCCAAAAACGGGAAAAAAGCAAGAUUAAGAUUGUAAGAUUAAGGAAAAAAUACCAUAUCAUUAUUUGAAUUGUGAUGGACAAAUAUAGCAUGGCCAAAGGAUCCAAUGAUGCCCUUUAAAGCUGCAUCCUCUGAGGACUCUCCUAUUUUACAGUAAGACGAGGAAAAGCAGCAGAUUUGCAUCUCCUACCUUAAACUAUCAGCAGACUCUGAACCCUGUUGUGCUGUGAAGUGCAGUGUCAGUAAGGGUUUGAUUUUACGCUAUAUUUUCAUCAAUAAGAAUUCUGUAGUUUUGUUAUACGUCAUGCACAAAUAAGACACAAAUACUUCAGUUAAUUUUGCCCAAAGGCUUCAUCAUCGCACAGGCUGAUGGAGCUGAAGUCCAUAAGUGUUACUGGAAUAAACGGUUCAGCGGCACAUACUUAAACACAGUAAUAUAUACGAGAGUAGUGGUAAAUGGAAAAGCCCUCCGUGACAUUUCUGUGGAGGGAAAGUGCGCCCUACGUUGUGAGUAUAUAUCAUGGCACAGAAAACAACAAAAGGCAGAAUCUAAGUGUACACACAAAAUACUUUAAAGUCAGCUGCUGGUAUUGUGCCGGUUCCCAGAAUCUCACAUAUCUCUCACAGAAAGCAACAAUGAGUGUACUGCUCCUUCAACCAGUUCAUAGUUUGAAUGUAGCAUCGGCUGCAAAUGCAUGCCAAGGUUGCAGAAGCUUCCACAGCUCAGGUAGACCUGCUGUUUGAUUCACCGAACAUCUGAUCACUUAUAAACGAACAGCAACCAUCUCCAUGCUGAAGCUACUUCCUUUAUGACUUGAAAGGAAAGAUCUGAAUUAGAUUUCAUUAGUCUUUUGCUCUUUGUCUAAAAAAAGAAAUUUAAACUGCAGACUACUCUUGGCUUUAAUACAGUCUAUGCCAGGGGUGUCGAACUCCAGGCCUCGAGGGCCGGGGUCCUGCAGGUUUUAGAUCUCACCCUGGGUCAACACACCUGAAUCACAUGAUUACUUCAUUAGCAGGCAUCUGGAGAACUUCAGGACAUGUUGAGGAGGUCAUUUAGCCGUUUGAAUCAGCUGUGUUGGAUCAAGGAGACAUCUGAAAGCUGCAGGACACCGGCCCUCGAGGCCUGGAGUUCAACACCUGUGGUCUAUGCUGUAGUGUGCGUGUCUUGAGUAGCUAUAGCUCACCAGUGGUGUUUGCUACUAGCUCGGAUCUCCUGCAGGCGACACAAACAUUCACAUUAGCUCCCUGUUCCACUGAGUGAGCCGGUACGGUGUCCUGGAUACAAGCUCAAAGUCACAGGUCAGUACCAUCACAGAGUCUAAACCAGGGGUGGGGACCUCCAGGCCUUGAGAGCUGGUGUCCUGCAGGUUUUAGAUCUCACCCUGGGUCAGCACACCUGAGUCAGAUGAUUGGUUCAUUACCAGCCUCUGAAGAACUUCAAGACAUGUUGAGGUCAUUUAAAUCAGCUGUGUUGGAACAAAGGUUAAAGUCAAGCAAAUGUACAUGGCCAAGCUUCAAUUGAGUUCAAACUGAGCGGGGCCAUACGGCAGAUUUAAAUUUGCCCCCCACACAAUGAACACGGAGGCACACUAAAACUGGCCAGUGGAUGCAGGCGCAAACUGUCGGUGGUGCUGUUCAGUAAGACUUCUGUUCAGAGUUUAUUCCUGCUCCUCGCUGUGUUUAAGAGACCCAAAGAUAUUUCUGCUUCACCUAAAGUGUCUCAGUGAGGCUCUCUUCAUAAGUGCUGCAUCUGUCCUCUCUAAGAUUUGCUGUUCUACUCACCAACACAACGCACUGGAGGCAAUCGGCUGGUCUCAAAUCAAGUGACUGUCUCAUGGGAAGAGUAGUCCCACAAACAAGAAGAAAACAGAAACGGGUACCUGCUGGCGAUUUCCCCUUUCACUUAAGCAUUCUCUGAACAUUCAUGAGCUCUUCUGGUGUAGAUUACAACAGUUAUCAGUGAGAUCAACUGAACACAGAUGCAGAUCUGUAGUGCUGGACAUAAAGUGCCACAAGUAUCAUUUCUCUGAAUAUGAAAUUAAUGUGCAAUACAAUUCUUAAGUUACGCUGCAGAACACACGCUGCAGUCCACAGUCUCAGUCCCACCGCUGUGACGUCAGAGGGCUGGAGGUGGUGUGAUACAGCUGGAGUACUGGUGGUGCCAGCAAAUUCUCUCCACCUGUGGAAGACACACACCAAAUAAACAGACGAUCAGGAGACUACAGCGAUCACUGCACGUGUGUGCAUGCUGCCUGGUAUAGCUCAACAAUUAGAGUUAACUGUAACACGGUGGUUGUUGCCUCUGUUUUAAAACUACCAAAAACUAAACUCUGUUCAAGAGCACAGGUUUAAUAAAAU